CCUACGGGUUGCAGCAGUGGGGAAUAUUGCACAAUGGGCGCAAGCCUGAUGCAGCCAUGCCGCGUGUGUGAAGAAGGCCUUCGGGUUGUAAAGCACUUUCAGCGAGGAGGAAGGUGGUGAGCUUAAUACGCUCAUCAAUUGACGUUACUCGCAGAAGAAGCACCAGCUAACUCCGUGCCAGCAGCCGCGGUAAUACGGAGGGUGCAAGCGUUAAUCGGAAUUACUGGGCGUAAAGCGCACGCAGGCGGAUUGUUAAGUCAGAUGUGAAAACCCCGGGCUCAACCUGGGAACUGCAUUUGAAACUGGCAAGCUAGAGUCUCGUAGAGGGGGGUAGAAUUCCAGGUGUAGCGGUGAAAUGCGUAGAUAUAUGGAGGAACACCAGUGGCGAAGGCGACUCUCUGGUCUGUAACUGACGCUGAGGCUCGAAAGCGUGGGGAGCAAACAGGAUUAGAUACCCGCGUAGUC
Molecule: ribosomal RNA, 465 nt
Filed under: uncultured bacterium
Lineage: Bacteria
Description: bacterial SSU rRNA
Rfam family: Bacterial small subunit ribosomal RNA
Source: RNAcentral